AUGAACGCUAGCGGCAGGCCUAAUACCUGCCAGUCGCGGGGUAUGGGUUGCUUGCAACCCAGAGACCGGCGCACGGGUGCGUAACGCGUAUGCAAUCUACCUUAAUCAGGGGGAUAGCCCGGAGAAAUCCGGAUUAACACCGCAUAACAUUGAGUUGUGGCAUCACAGUUCAAUCAAAUAUUUAUAGGAUUAAGAUGAGCAUGCGUGACAUUAGUUAGUUGGUGAGGUAACGGCUCACCAAGACCACGAUGUCUAGGGGAUCUGAGAGGAUGACCCCCCACACUGGUACUGAGACACGGACCAGACUCCUACGGGAGGCAGCAGUAAGGAAUAUUGGUCAAUGGGCGCAAGCCUGAACCAGCCAUGCCGCGUGCAGGAAGACGGCCCUAUGGGUUGUAAACUGCUUUUGUACCGGAAUAAACCUUCUCUUGCGAGAGAAGCUGAACGUACGGUAAGAAUAAGAAUCGGCUAACUCCGUG
Molecule: ribosomal RNA, 479 nt
Filed under: uncultured bacterium
Lineage: Bacteria
Description: partial 16S ribosomal RNA
Rfam family: Bacterial small subunit ribosomal RNA
Source: RNAcentral